RNAcentral lists this ribosomal RNA (250 nucleotides) under uncultured bacterium. Its description in RNAcentral is "partial 16S ribosomal RNA". It matches the Rfam family "Bacterial small subunit ribosomal RNA", at positions 524 to 773 of the family's 1533-position model. The record is from RNAcentral.
GACAGAGGGUGCAAACGUUGCUCGGAAUCACUGGGCGUAAAGGGCGUGUAGGCGGACUAGUAAGUCGGGCGUGAAAUCCCUGGGCUCAACCCAGGAACUGCACUCGAAACUGCGAGUCUUGAGUACCGGAGAGGAAGGUGGAAUUCCUGGUGUAGAGGUGAAAUUCGUAGAUAUCAGGAGGAACACCAGUGGCGAAGGCGGCCUUCUGGACGGUAACUGACGCUGAGACGCGAAAGCGUGGGGAGCAAAC